GAUGAACGCUGGCGGCGUGCUUAACACAUGCAAGUCGAACGAAGCAUGGACCCCGGAAGUUUUCGGACGGAAAGGAACUAUGACUGAGUGGCGGACGGGUGAGUAACGCGUGGAUAACCUGCCUCAUACAGGGGGAUAACAGUCAGAAAUGACUGCUAAUACCGCAUAAGCGCACAGUACCGCAUGGUACGGUGUGAAAAACUCCGGUGGUAUGAGAUGGAUCCGCGUCUGAUUAGCUGGUUGGUGGGGUAAGGGCCCACCAAGGCAACGAUCAGUAGCCGGCCUGAGAGGGUGAACGGCCACAUUGGGACUGAGACACGGCCCAAACUCCUACGGGAGGCAGCAGUGGGGAAUAUUGCACAAUGGGGGAAACCCUGAUGCAGCGACGCCGCGUGAGUGAAGAAGUAUCUCGGUAUGUAAAGCUCUAUCAGCAGGGAAGAAAAUGACGGUACCUGACUAAGAAGCCCCGGCUAACUACGUGCCAGCCGCCGCCGUAACAC
This 500-nucleotide ribosomal RNA is filed under the name uncultured bacterium. RNAcentral's name for it is "bacterial SSU rRNA". It matches the Rfam family "Bacterial small subunit ribosomal RNA", at positions 28 to 526 of the family's 1533-position model. The record is from RNAcentral.